RNA transcript from Bubalus bubalis (water buffalo), 1825 nucleotides. It is a transcript of the gene named SYS1 golgi trafficking protein, with no coding region annotated. The record is from RefSeq and is a predicted model, not a curated record. The transcript is spliced from 5 exons. Lineage: Eukaryota; Metazoa; Chordata; Mammalia; Artiodactyla; Bovidae.
CCCCUCCACCCCGGAAACGCUUCCUUCCUACGCAGCCGCUACACCCGCUGCAACCGGUGGACCUUUGCCUCUCUAGGCCAGUAGGGCCUCUCCUCCAUGGUCCUGACUGUCAGCACCGUUUCGGUAGCCAGUCGGUGCGGCUGGGCCGCGCUCGGACGCUUCGGAUCCUCGAGACCGUAACCGGUGCAGGGGCGGCCCCGGGCCCAUGGCGCGGCGGCGGCGCUGACCCGGGCCCGGGCGGCGGCCGGGCCCCGGGGGCCGGCAUGGCGGGCCAGUUCCGCAGCUACGUGUGGGACCCGUUGCUGAUCCUGUCUCAGAUCGUCCUCAUGCAGACCGUCUAUUACGGCUCGCUGGGCCUGUGGCUGGCGCUGGUGGACGGGCUGGUGCACAGCAGCCCCUCGCUGGACCAGGUGUUCGACGCCGAGAUCCUGGGCUUUUCCACCCCUCCAGGCCGGCUCUCCACGAUGUCCUUCGUCCUCAACGCCCUCACCUGAGCCUGUGAGCCAUGACUACUGAAGCCUGUGUGCCCUGGAGCCCAUGCUUCCCAAGAGAAGCCACUGCAGCGAGAAGCUUGUGCACCGCAAGUAGAAAACUCACCGCCACUAGAGAAAUGCCGGUGCAGCAACGAAGACCCAACGCAGCCGAAAGGAUGAACACUGCUAUAUUUGAAAUGGAUGACCAACAGGGUCCUACUGCACAGCCCAGGGAACUCUGCUCAGUGUUCCGUGGCAGCCUGGAUGGGAGGAAGUUCGGAGGAGAAUGGGUACAUGUUUCUUAACUAGCUGGGCACUCCACAGCACCACUGUUGAUGCCAUCUAUGAUGUCAUGAGGGUGGCGGCCAUCAACAUUGCAGCCCACAGGCUGGGUGAUCUCUUUAAUGGUUCCAGAGAGUUCUCUAGCUAGAGACUGAUGCUGCAUCUGCUGGGCAGUGUUGACGAUCUCAUCAAAAGUGAUGGUUCCACUGUGCUUAAUGUUUUGCUGCUUCUUUCUGUCUCUUGGUGGUUCCUUGAGGGCUUUGAUGAUCGGACAGAAGCAGAAGGUACCACCUUAAUCUGGGCCUGUCUGUUCUGAAUGGUCAGUUUCACUGUAAUACUCGGACCCUUCCAAUCACCAGUUGCCUUGGUGAUGUCAUCACCAACCGUUUUUGGAGACAGACCCAGGGAGCCAAUCUUGGGGGCCAGGGCAGACAUGGCACUGACUUCCCCACUGGUGCACCAGUGCAAAAGGUACACGACUUUGAUCUCGUUGAGGUCAAACUUUGGUGGCAUGGUGAAGGCAGCUGGUGAACCCGGAUUUGGGAUGAUUGAAGAAAGUUGCACCUUUGCCUCCUCUGAGCUGAAAGCUGCACAGCUUCUUAUAUGUCCAUGCCCUUUCUUAUUAGGGCAGAGAUGAGUGGGUGGUAAAAACAAAAAAAGAUGCUGUGGGCCAGAAAAGACACAAGGAGGUGACUUUGGAGGGAAGGCAAGGCGAACACCCCACCUCUCCCUCUGUCUGCCUCAGUCCUCUCCCGGCUCCUCUGCCUGCUCGGGCUUUCCUCUCCCUGUCAGCAUGAUCUCAGCUCUUCCUGGACUCUGCUGGGCUCUGCUGGGCUGCAUCAGGAUCAUCUGCACCUGCCACCUCGGCACAACAGCUGGGGCCCUGCUGUGCGCUGUCCUGUGAGCCCCGGGUGUGGUCCCUCCAGAACAUGGGCUCCUCAAGGGUAGGGAUUUGGGGCUGUUCUCUUUAUUGCUAACCCCCCAGAGCCUUAGAAGAGUGCCUGGCUGACAAGAGGUACCCACUAAGUAUUUUGUGAAAAAAUGAAAAUAAACGGCAUUCUCUAUGAUAA